RNAcentral lists this ribosomal RNA (352 nucleotides) under uncultured bacterium. RNAcentral's name for it is "bacterial SSU rRNA". It matches the Rfam family "Bacterial small subunit ribosomal RNA", at positions 451 to 793 of the family's 1533-position model. The record is from RNAcentral.
UACGUUAAUAGCGUAUUCGUUUGACGUUAGCGACAGAAGAAAGCACCGGCUAACUCCGUGCCAGCAGCCGCGGUAAUACGGAGGGUGCGAGCGUUAAUCGGAAUUACUGGGCGUAAAGACGCAUGCAGGUGGUUUGUUAAGUCAGAUGUGAAAGACCCGGGGCGUCAACCUCGGAAUAGCAUUUGAAACUAGGCAGACUAGAGUACUGUAGAGGGGGGUAGGAAUUUCAGGUGUAGCGGUGAAAUGCGUAGAGAUCUGAAGGAAUACCGGUGGCGAAGGCGGCCCCCUCGGACAGAUACUGACACUCAGAUGCGAAAGCGUGGGGAGCAAACAGGAUUAGAUACCCUGGUAG